Molecule: long non-coding RNA, 3658 nt
Organism: Columba livia (rock pigeon)
Lineage: Eukaryota; Metazoa; Chordata; Aves; Columbiformes; Columbidae
Exons: 5
Source: RefSeq, a predicted model, not a curated record
GGGAGAUCCCAGAGCUGCGGUUCCACCAACCGUAUCGCCCUAAAAGCAAAGGUGAAUACUCCACAAUCUACAGGAAUGAGGCAGCAACUCAGCCAGAGCUGCCACAGGAACAUGCAGCCACCCAGAGCUCAGACUGCAGAGCAUGUUCCUCGGAUCAGCUGACUGAAGCCAGCUCUGCCGGAGCCGGGAGCGAAAUCUCGAAGCUACUGAGAUGACUGCAUGGAAGAUGAAUCUGAUUUAAUCCAUGUGCAGGUUAACAAAAGAGAAAAAAGGUGACAGCGUGCAGGCAACAACAGGAGCGAUUGCAACACAGCCUUUCGAUGAUGGCAGAGGAGAGCUCUGCUGGGACCCACAUGUGGAAGCGUGAGACGGGGGGAAUGACUUUGCUAUUUAAUGCUCCCAGGCUCAAGGGGAAAGGGGCUGGUGGGCAUUCCCUGUUAAUAAGCAACAGUUUCAAAUGCACAUCAAGCACCCUAAGGAAACAGCUUGAAAGACCCUGAAAAGUAUGACUUCGUACCUCCUUUGCUUGGUUCCAGUAAUUAUUAUAAGGGUAAUGACUGUUGUGAAUUACUUUUUAUCUCCGCUAUUAUUACAUGGACAUCGUCUUUUUGCUUUGUACAAUUUUGAGGCAUUUGAGAACAAGAAGGCCUCGGCUGUAUCUUUUAUGUGCUCUUCCUCCAGCCUAUUCAUCUCAGCCCUCCCAAGCUGCGUGCAGAGAUGUCUGCCUCAUCUUUCAAGAGUUUGUCCACAACUCGUCGCACACUGAAGUGAGAAGAACACAUGGUCCUGCCUGUCAGGGGUGCUGUGCUAGUGUUAAAAUUCGGUGAUAGUGUUUGCAGGAAGAAAAGAGGUUUUUCUGCUGUGUUUUGUGACAAGAACAACUUGUCUUGACUUUACAGCCAGUAUUGGCCGCCAAUUGCACCUCCACAAAAGUAGGAUCAAUGGUGAAAACUCUCCCAAGCCCUGAGGAUCGCUGUCAGGCUGCCCACGGCUUUCCUUUCGGCAAAUGCCGAUAACCAGCCUCAUCCUCCGAUAAAGUCCCAAGCGGUUCUGCAAGACUCCAGCUCCCCUGGUGGGACAAAGUUCCUGUGUUGGAGGUCAGAAGGUGCAAAAUCACCCACACAGUGCACAGCAGGGCCUUUCUGGCCCGGGGGGAUGAGCUCCGCACUGGUGAGCGAUUUUUUCACUGAAUAGCAAAUGUUUUUAAUGUUUUUUUCAGCGCUGCCACACAGUGGCAGUGUUGAGGCUCCUGCUAUACGGCAAGAGACCGAAGAAAAUCCUCUUCAGUUAGAAAUUACCUGGCUCUCCUGCUAGGGACACCCUGUCGUCUUUCAAGGUAUUAACGUGGAGAGCAUUUUCCUUGUCCAGUAAUACUGUUACUCGUGUUUUUAGGUUGUUUUCCUAAGGAGCUGAGAUAAAGGGGAUGUUAUGGCCAGCCUACAGUCCUUCCCCACAACACACAAACACAUUAGGGUGGCAAAAGCAUCGAGUUUAAGUUUCAUGAAAAGAGUUGGCCAGUUAGAGAGAGUGAGCACUAGCAACGUACAGAAGGAGGUCGAAGCACAAGCCCGGAUUAUUGUUUGACGGAGGGAAAAGGAAUUACGAGUGUCUUAACCAGUGGAAAAGCUUCAGUCAGCAAGAACACUUGUCAGACAAGGGAAUGUUCAGCUGUGAGGCACUGAGUCCGCUAUGUUCUCCUGCCCACAGAGCUGGUUGGUUUUGAUACAGGUUAAAAUAUGAUAAAGUGAAACAUGCAUGUGUAAUCAAGAAAUCGUCUUUUUCUCGAUGACAUCUGUGCCUCGGAAAGUCACAUCCCACAGGGAGGAGUGGGAGUAGAAAAGCUGCUUCCUUUGGGUCUUCUUUUGAGCUGAUUAAAAAAAAGACCAAAAUGCUUGAAUGCCUCAACAUUUUCCCAAAGUUAAAGCCACGGAGAUGAUAAAAUUUUCCAAAUCAUAGAAUGUCAGGGGUUGAAGGGCCCUGGAAAGCUCAUGCAGUGCAAUCCCCCCAUGGAGCAGGAACACCCAGAUGAGGUUACACAGGAAGGUGUCCAGGCGGGUUGGAAUGUCUGCACAGAAGGAGACAAAUGCAGCCAGUUCUUGCCCUUCCACGUCCUGCCGAUGAGCUGAACACCAGACCAGCAGGAGCACAGCGGCUGCCUGCCCAGGGCCGACCUUUUGAAGGACCACUUGGAGACGGCAGAGGACCGGCCAGGCUGCCCUGUGAGGGUAUCGGGGCCAACCUCUUCUGAGUCAUGUCCUUGCUGCUGAGAUCAAACCCCACUGUGCCAGACAACACCACAAACCGCGCUGUAGCACCUUGAAAGCGGGACGCUUGUCUGCCUUCAGAAGGAGCCAGGCUGGCUGGCUGCUGGCAGAAAGCCCACUGCAAUGUAAUUGGAAGAAGAGUUUUAAAUCAAGUUGGUAUUUUUUCUUUAAACAAGACAUCUCAAAUGGAGUGCUGAGCAUCAAAGGAUCGAGCAGAGCGGCACAGAAAUAGCAGCAAGAUCAUCUAACGAGGCAGAGAACAAGACUCCCGACCCCGGCGAGGCUAGCAAGGGAGACAGCACUUCCAAAGCCGUCGUCUUUGAGCACAGGGGAACAUUUCUCCUUAUGAAUUUUCUAUUUUCCAGCAAAAAGAGAAACACAGUGGUAGUAUGGUAACAGAAUGAAAACCGUUCUUCCAGAAGGAACCAGCGUUAUCCAGCCAAAUAUCUUCUUAUGGACACUGGUGGGCUCUGAAUCAGGCUCACAAGAAUAUGAACAGCACAUCACAAUGUUGUAUUUAGCACCUCUCCUCCACUUCCCUCCCCGGACAGUCGUGCUGUGAGUACCCUGUUGCUGGCUGGUGCUGAUGGGUAUUUGCUUUCCCAAGCUGGGAUUAAGAUGACAGGAACUUGCAUGGAGCCCAACAUAAAGUCUGAGAUUCAAACUCCCUGAGAUUGGAAGAGUUUGGAUCCCGCUCUGGACUUUAUUAUUUACGUUUUCUUUUCCUGGCCACAAAAAGCCCAGAUUUAGCAUACAGAGUCAGUCUGCAAUCGCAACCUGGUCAACAAAGACCUUCUCUGAGUUGAUCACAGCAGGAUGAAUCUCUCCCUGCUCUGCUGGCACCAUGGAAUCCCGUGUUGGGCCAUGGAGCAGCCGUAAGUGGCAGCAAGGGACGCGGUGGUAGCAGUGUAUUCAUGCUGCACACUGUUGGUUGUGGAAAUGUGUUAUAGUCGUAUUUUCGCCUGUUGCUAGUGCCUUUAUACAGUGGGCGUGCAUUUGCCACACGCAUUCUAACGGACAUCUCGUAAGCUUUUCUAGAAACUUCUCACACUAUUUCUAUAACCAAGUUUCACUUUGAGAAUUGCAGUCGCAGAAGCAGGGCUCCUAACACAAUCACCAGGUACCGCACAGCCAGGCCAUGGGGAGUGGUGACGGGCAGGCUGUGAUGAGGAUGGAUGUGCUGUGUCACUCACAGGACAGGGGUUUUUGUCACGUUGUACUUUCCUCCACCACUCUCUGCUGUUGCUCAUGGCCCGAGGGGUUACACUGAGCUGCCUGCAGAGCAAGAGCUGGCUGAUCCUUCAUGCCCUCUGUAAAUUCAAAUGGAAACCUAUUUGCACUGACAAAAUACAGAUUUAUUUAUCCCUUUGCAAUAAAAAACAGAGUGAUUUCUA